This is a long non-coding RNA of Hyla sarda, 1248 nucleotides long. RefSeq lists it as uncharacterized. Lineage: Eukaryota; Metazoa; Chordata; Amphibia; Anura; Hylidae. The transcript is spliced from 7 exons. The record is from RefSeq and is a predicted model, not a curated record.
GAGCCUUCAGGAUGAGCAGAGGAGGCUUCCAACACCAUUUUACAGCUCCCUUGAUUAUUCUAGGAGGAGGAAUGAUUUGCUUCUUCUCCUGAUUUAGCCUAUAAUUUUCCUGUUUAGAGACAUUUGAGCAUGUUUGUACAGCUGCUAUCUGUGGUUUCUGGGAUCGAGGACAGAGGAUCUGUGCAGUAAUAGGUGAUACUCUAUAGCAGGCAAUACUACUAUGGACAACAGGAAAUAUAAGAACUUGGAGCUCCAAAUGGCAGUAUGAUGAUACCAAAAGAAUAUUGGAAGUGAGCUGAGCAGAGGCGUGGAUGAUUUAUUAAGGACCUGGCAACAAGCUCGGAUGGCUUCUAUGUGGCUCUUAUGUACCUUUGCUGAACCCUAUUGGUACUUGAGCCCCUAUACAAGUGCGGAUUAUUAUUGAGAAGGGAUGAGGAUCUGAUGACAAAGUGAGGAACCAAUGAUGUCCAGGUGUCACACUCUGCAGAGGAAGAUGUAGCUGGAAGAAGACACAGCAUCUUGGCCACAUGAAGAAAAGAAAAGACUACAGAGAAGUUGUCUCCUGAUUCCCACUCCUAGAAAGAGUAGUCACAAUGUGCCAGGCUCCAGUCCCCGCUGGUGCAGCCUACUUUCCUCAGUCACAACCAUCUCAUUGCUCCUAUAAACAGCCGCCAGCCUUCUUCGUCAGCUCCGGUCCCUAUUCUUCAUUAAAGUACUGUGGCUAAUAGUUAUACAAAUGUUCCCUGUCACAAAGCAAAUAUCCAGAACAGAGAGCUGGAGGAUACAAUGAAGUCCUCACAAAAUAUCCAGUAUAGCUAUUACGUCUGCUCCAAUUCUUCUUGCUGACGAACAGUACAUUAUCACCUGCCAUGAUGUUUAACACGUCAGAAUACAGAAUAUACUCAUUUUACAAAUUUUAUCACAUUCCAUGAAUGCAGCGAAGACGGAAAAAUAUUUUCUUAAUGAAAUUUGAUUGGGUGAUUCUUUAUUCUUAUGUCAGUUCUUUACGUAACCUCGGUAAUUACCGCUUGUUGGGGAUUGUGUCUGUAGGUAAUUGGUGGAGCCUGAUCCAGAAUACAGACAGCAGCCCACUCCACAACCUUAACAGCUGUCAUAAUUAUAUGACAUUUUCUGGUCCAGAUCUUUUCGACUCGGUAACCGUAGCAACAGACCAAGACAAGCGCCCUGUUUCUAUCUGUAUUUACUUAGAUAAAGGUCUUGUGCACCUUGUCCAUGUGUCACAUUUCA